GAAUACGUAAGGAGCUCCAUCAUC
RNAcentral lists this non-coding RNA (24 nucleotides) under Arabidopsis thaliana (thale cress). Lineage: Eukaryota; Viridiplantae; Streptophyta; Magnoliopsida; Brassicales; Brassicaceae. The record is from RNAcentral.